GGGGACUCCCCGUGCGGCGGCACCCCGCUGAACUCCCCCAGGGCCGGAAGGCAGCAAGGGCAGGUGGGCUCUGCCGGGUGCGCGGGGGGUCGCUUCG
This 97-nucleotide signal recognition particle RNA is filed under the name Bifidobacteriaceae bacterium. Its description in RNAcentral is "signal recognition particle sRNA small type". It matches the Rfam family "Bacterial small signal recognition particle RNA". Rfam says of the family: The signal recognition particle (SRP) is a universally conserved ribonucleoprotein involved in the co-translational targeting of proteins to membranes. Archaeal SRP consists of a 7S RNA and homologues of the eukaryotic SRP19 and SRP54 proteins. In most bacteria, the SRP consists of a 4.5S RNA and the Ffh protein (a homologue of the eukaryotic SRP54 protein). The record is from RNAcentral. Lineage: Bacteria; Bacillati; Actinomycetota; Actinomycetes; Bifidobacteriales; Bifidobacteriaceae.